Molecule: ribosomal RNA, 339 nt
Filed under: Triticum aestivum (bread wheat)
Lineage: Eukaryota; Viridiplantae; Streptophyta; Magnoliopsida; Poales; Poaceae
Description: partial small subunit ribosomal RNA
Source: RNAcentral
AUGCAAGGACUGCCAUGCCUGGAUUUACACUUGGAUUGCCUGCAGCGGAUUAAACGCUGGUCGCUUCUACAAAAAGGGCUCUGUGGAUACAUGAGGUCGACCGAGGAGUACCGUGCUCAGCUGAGUGACCAGAUUGUUGCAGAUCCUGUAGCCGCCCCUCAUCAGCCCGCAGCUUACAUGCACCGGAGAGCUAGAUCAGGCGAACCAAUGGAGGAGUGGAGGCGCGGAUGCGAGCUUGCACGGAAUGGCCGAGUGGAGCAGCAGGCAUGGAGCGGGCACGCUCGGGUUAACACAGGAGGCGCAGCAGUGGCCACAUCACGAUCGGAGUGUUUAAGUUAG